This 1474-nucleotide ribosomal RNA is filed under the name Limosilactobacillus fermentum. Its description in RNAcentral is "bacterial SSU rRNA". It matches the Rfam family "Bacterial small subunit ribosomal RNA". The record is from RNAcentral. Lineage: Bacteria; Bacillati; Bacillota; Bacilli; Lactobacillales; Lactobacillaceae.
CCGGAGAGUGCUAAUACAUGCAAGUCGAACGCGUUGGCCCAAUUGAUUGAUGGUGCUUGCACCUGAUUGAUUUUGGUCGCCAACGAGUGGCGGACGGGUGAGUAACACGUAGGUAACCUGCCCAGAAGCGGGGGACAACAUUUGGAAACAGAUGCUAAUACCGCAUAACAGCGUUGUUCGCAUGAACAACGCUUAAAAGAUGGCUUCUCGCUAUCACUUCUGGAUGGACCUGCGGUGCAUUAGCUUGUUGGUGGGGUAAUGGCCUACCAAGGCGAUGAUGCAUAGCCGAGUUGAGAGACUGAUCGGCCACAAUGGGACUGAGACACGGCCCAUACUCCUACGGGAGGCAGCAGUAGGGAAUCUUCCACAAUGGGCGCAAGCCUGAUGGAGCAACACCGCGUGAGUGAAGAAGGGUUUCGGCUCGUAAAGCUCUGUUGUUAAAGAAGAACACGUAUGAGAGUAACUGUUCAUACGUUGACGGUAUUUAACCAGAAAGUCACGGCUAACUACGUGCCAGCAGCCGCGGUAAUACGUAGGUGGCAAGCGUUAUCCGGAUUUAUUGGGCGUAAAGAGAGUGCAGGCGGUUUUCUAAGUCUGAUGUGAAAGCCUUCGGCUUAACCGGAGAAGUGCAUCGGAAACUGGAUAACUUGAGUGCAGAAGAGGGUAGUGGAACUCCAUGUGUAGCGGUGGAAUGCGUAGAUAUAUGGAAGAACACCAGUGGCGAAGGCGGCUACCUGGUCUGCAACUGACGCUGAGACUCGAAAGCAUGGGUAGCGAACAGGAUUAGAUACCCUGGUAGUCCAUGCCGUAAACGAUGAGUGCUAGGUGUUGGAGGGUUUCCGCCCUUCAGUGCCGGAGCUAACGCAUUAAGCACUCCGCCUGGGGAGUACGACCGCAAGGUUGAAACUCAAAGGAAUUGACGGGGGCCCGCACAAGCGGUGGAGCAUGUGGUUUAAUUCGAAGCUACGCGAAGAACCUUACCAGGUCUUGACAUCUUGCGCCAACCCUAGAGAUAGGGCGUUUCCUUCGGGAACGCAAUGACAGGUGGUGCAUGGUCGUCGUCAGCUCGUGUCGUGAGAUGUUGGGUUAAGUCCCGCAACGAGCGCAACCCUUGUUACUAGUUGCCAGCAUUAAGUUGGGCACUCUAGUGAGACUGCCGGUGACAAACCGGAGGAAGGUGGGGACGACGUCAGAUCAUCAUGCCCCUUAUGACCUGGGCUACACACGUGCUACAAUGGACGGUACAACGAGUCGCGAACUCGCGAGGGCAAGCAAAUCUCUUAAAACCGUUCUCAGUUCGGACUGCAGGCUGCAACUCGCCUGCACGAAGUCGGAAUCGCUAGUAAUCGCGGAUCAGCAUGCCGCGGUGAAUACGUUCCCGGGCCUUGUACACACCGCCCGUCACACCAUGAGAGUUUGUAACACCCAAAGUCGGUGGGGUAACCUUUUAGGAGCCAGCCGCGUAAGGGACAGA